UCGAAAACCCACCUCCACCGAUCCACCAUUCCACCUCCGGUGUCCGGUCCUCCACAACUUCACCUCCGCUCUAGCCUUCAACGUGGUAGAAUUUCAAAGGUAAGUUUGCUGUUAACCCUAAUUCUUGUUAACGGUUUUCUAAUUUUUCAAUGUCUUCUCCCCUUUUUGCUUUUUGAUUUUGAUUGUGAUUUUGAUUUUUGCUGUUAACGAUUUUCUGAAUUUGAUUUUGAGACACUGAAUCUUGGGGGGAUUUUGAUUGUGUUUACACUUUACAUAUUGUUCUAUUUUUUUUAGUUCUUUUGAUUGGAUUAAUGUGAUUUUCUUUUCUUGAAUGAUGAUUUUUCUUUUGUUGCAAAUUUGUUCUUUUAUUAAAACCGAAAAAGGAAGAAAAUCAAUAGAAUUGGAUUUAGAGUUUAUGGAAUCUAAAAAAACUGAAAAAAUAACCCUCCAAAUUGACUGCUUAAAUUAAACUAAACUAAUAUGUCACUGUCAUUAACAACAAAUUUCAUUUUGGAUGAGAAUUAAGAGCAAAAUUGUAUUAUUCAAUUAUUAUUGGAUGAGAAUUGAUUUAUGUUUUAUAGAACAUGUAAUUUGCAGGGCUGAAUUCUGAGAUCACAUACAAGUAUAUUUUUUCUGCUUCUUUCAUGCAUGCUGGUUCACAAACAGCAGGUGGUAGCCUUGUCAAGGCUUGCGGUAGCUUGGGUGCU
Molecule: long non-coding RNA, 707 nt
Filed under: Gossypium raimondii (Peruvian cotton)
Lineage: Eukaryota; Viridiplantae; Streptophyta; Magnoliopsida; Malvales; Malvaceae
Description: long non-coding RNA (GRAI_LNC006490)
Source: RNAcentral